Tachysurus fulvidraco (yellow catfish) is the source of this 1561-nucleotide long non-coding RNA. RefSeq lists it as uncharacterized. The transcript is spliced from 4 exons. NCBI's taxonomy places the organism in Eukaryota, Metazoa, Chordata, Actinopteri, Siluriformes, Bagridae. The record is from RefSeq and is a predicted model, not a curated record.
GAUGGGACUAGGCAGAGUUUUGUGUUACUUUACUCUAGUAAUCUUCAUUCAAUAUUCCUGCAGUCAGACACUGAUCGAGUCUGAUCCAGUGACCAUCAAACCUGAUCAGUCUCAUAAACUGACCUGCACAGCCUCUGGAUUUAACUUUGGUGGCUCUUGGAUGGCUUGGAUAAGACAGGCACCUGGAAAAGGGCUGGAAUGGGUUGCAACUAUUUCAGAUAGCAGUGGUAGCAUAUAUUACUCCAGCGCGGUUAAGGGCCGCUUCACCAUCUCCAGAGACAACAGGGGCAGCAGCUGCUUGUUUUUGUGAAGGAUUCCUGGAUUUGCCUGGUGAUACCUGGAAAUAACCUUGAAGUGGGUGUGGCCUAAAGUAAUUAUCAGGAAUGAAAAUAUAUAUAAACUAUUCUAUGCUCCUGGAAACACCGGAAAAAGCCACAGGUGGUGUUGGAGGUGUGGAGCUCACUCAGACAGACUCUGUGCUGGUGAAGCCUGGAGAGUCGUUCUCCAUCUCUUGUAAGAUCUCAGUGUCGAGUUAUUGUAUACACUGGAUACGGCAACCUGCUGGAAAAGCACUGGAAUGGCUCGGAUAUCUGUGUAGCACUGAUAGCACUAAUCUCAAAGACACGAUGAAGAGCAAGAUUAGUCUCAGCCAGGACAAAUCCAUCAGCACAGUUUACUUAAGAGGACAAAACUUUCAGGUCGAGGACACGGCUGUGUAUUACUGUGCCAGACACACAACACUACAAACUCACUGAAGCCCUGUACAAAAACAUCCCUGGUUAUUUUCCUCUCUCUGCAGUACACAUGUCCCCAGAGGGGUCUGGUAUAUAUGAGCUAGCAGAGCUAAGACACUUCUGUAGUUCAAAGAUAUCUACAUAAGGUUUCAUCUUUGUCUCAACAUUAAAUUAAAUUGUUUUCCUGAACACAAGUGUAUACACAGUUAAUCCAUCACUAAUAUGACACCAAUCUAUUCCAAAGCUUUUAUGCAGAUUGCUGAAGUGGAUGUUGGUGUAACACAAAAUUUAAGCUAUUAUUAUAAUUAUAAUUGUCUGUGUGUUUUUACACAUCUAGAAGUCACAAAAUGUUACAAAAUUUAAACUUUAAUUUAAAAUUUUUAUUGUAUGUUUCUUUCUUUUAGAGCUGCUUUGAGAAAAUACCUCUUAUGGACCUCCGCCUAUAUCCAUUGUCCAACAAAAAGUGGUACAGCUCCCACAUACUUUGACACAGUUUGAGAAAAGGAGAAGUAAAACUGAGAACUAUAAUUUCUAAUAAAUGUCACUGGGGUGCAGGUCCCUGCUGAGGGAAUAUUUACAGCUCAGGAGGAUGUGCUGGUAUACGUUUCUAAAGUCUGUUGUGUCAGUGUGGUUGUCAUGCACAGUUAUAUCUUUAAAUUACAAACUUUAAAAUGACCUAAAUCAAGGUUUCUGUGUCAGAAUGAUCAAUAAAGUGCAUGAAAUAAUUGUCUCUUUCUUUAAAACCCCUUUAAGCAUUGCCCCCCUUUUGCAGCUUUUUCGCCUACAUGACCUACCCAACAAAAAGUGGUACAGCUCCCACAUACUUU